This 1326-nucleotide ribosomal RNA is filed under the name Microbacterium oxydans. RNAcentral describes it as "bacterial SSU rRNA". It matches the Rfam family "Bacterial small subunit ribosomal RNA", at positions 81 to 1419 of the family's 1533-position model. The record is from RNAcentral. Lineage: Bacteria; Bacillati; Actinomycetota; Actinomycetes; Micrococcales; Microbacteriaceae.
GCUCUGUGGGAUCAGUGGCGAACGGGUGAGUAACACGUGAGCAACCUGCCCCUGACUCUGGGAUAAGCGCUGGAAACGGCGUCUAAUACUGGAUAUGUGACGUGAUCGCAUGGUCUGCGGCUGGAUCGACUUCUUGUUGGGGAUGGGCUCGCGGCCUAUCAGCUUGUUGGUGAGGUAAUGGCUCACCAAGGCGUCGACGGGUAGCCGGCCUGAGAGGGUGACCGGCCACACUGGGACUGAGACACGGCCCAGACUCCUACGGGAGGCAGCAGUGGGGAAUAUUGCACAAUGGGCGCAAGCCUGAUGCAGCAACGCCGCGUGAGGGACGACGGCCUUCGGGUUGUAAACCUCUUUUAGCAGGGAAGAAGCGAAAGUGACGGUACCUGCAGAAAAAGCGCCGGCUAACUACGUGCCAGCAGCCGCGGUAAUACGUAGGGCGCAAGCGUUAUCCGGAAUUAUUGGGCGUAAAGAGCUCGUAGGCGGUUUGUCGCGUCUGCUGUGAAAUCCGGAGGCUCAACCUCCGGCCUGCAGUGGGUACGGGCAGACUAGAGUGCGGUAGGGGAGAUUGGAAUUCCUGGUGUAGCGGUGGAAUGCGCAGAUAUCAGGAGGAAUACCGAUGGCGAAGGCAGAUCUCUGGGCCGUAACUGACGCUGAGGAGCGAAAGGGUGGGGAGCAAACAGGCUUAGAUACCCUGGUAGUCCACCCCGUAAACGUUGGGAACUAGUUGUGGGGUCCAUUCCACGGAUUCCGUGACGCAGCUAACGCAUUAAGUUCCCCGCCUGGGGAGUACGGCCGCAAGGCUAAAACUCAAAGGAAUUGACGGGGACCCGCACAAGCGGCGGAGCAUGCGGAUUAAUUCGAUGCAACGCGAAGAACCUUACCAAGGCUUGACAUAUACGAGAACGGGCCAGAAAUGGUCAACUCUUUGGACACUCGUAAACAGGUGGUGCAUGGUUGUCGUCAGCUCGUGUCGUGAGAUGUUGGGUUAAGUCCCGCAACGAGCGCAACCCUCGUUCUAUGUUGCCAGCACGUAAUGGUGGGAACUCAUGGGAUACUGCCGGGGUCAACUCGGAGGAAGGUGGGGAUGACGUCAAAUCAUCAUGCCCCUUAUGUCUUGGGCUUCACGCAUGCUACAAUGGCCGGUACAAAGGGCUGCAAUACCGUGAGGUGGAGCGAAUCCCAAAAAGCCGGUCCCAGUUCGGAUUGAGGUCUGCAACUCGACCUCAUGAAGUCGGAGUCGCUAGUAAUCGCAGAUCAGCAACGCUGCGGUGAAUACGUUCCCGGGUCUUGUACACACCGCCCGUCAAGUCAUGAAAGUCGGUAACA